CCUACGGGUGGCAGCAGUGAGGAAUAUUGGUCAAUGGACGCAAGUCUGAACCAGCCAUGCCGCGUGCAGGAAGACGGCUCUAUGAGUUGUAAACUGCUUUUGUACGAGGGUAAACGCAGAUACGCGUAUCUGUCUGAAAGUAUCGUACGAAUAAGGAUCGGCUAACUCCGUGCCAGCAGCCGCGGUAAUACGGAGGAUUCAAGCGUUAUCCGGAUUUAUUGGGUUUAAAGGGGGCGUAGGCGGUCGGAUAAGUUGGGUGUGAAAUCCCGAGGCUCAACUUCGGAAUUGCCUCUGAUAAUGUGGGGAGAGAGAGUAGUUGGGGAAGGGGGAAUGUAGGGUGGAGGGGUGAAA
RNAcentral lists this ribosomal RNA (351 nucleotides) under uncultured bacterium. Its description in RNAcentral is "partial 16S ribosomal RNA". It matches the Rfam family "Bacterial small subunit ribosomal RNA", at positions 338 to 686 of the family's 1533-position model. The record is from RNAcentral.